Long non-coding RNA from Vidua macroura (Pin-tailed whydah), 357 nucleotides. RefSeq lists it as uncharacterized. Lineage: Eukaryota; Metazoa; Chordata; Aves; Passeriformes; Viduidae. The transcript has 2 exons. The record is from RefSeq and is a predicted model, not a curated record.
GGCAGCCGGGCCCGGCGCCCCUCUGGAUGGCGGGAUGGGCUGGAGCAGGAACCGCAGGGACGAGCCGACCCCAGAGCAGCAAACGAAACGUAUCAGAAACUCCAGAGCUGUAGCAGGAGCUGCGGGUGUCCCGGCAGGCAGGGGAGGUGGGACAAUGAAAUAUCAGAACUUCUUUUCUUCUACAUCUUCACUACAAAUGGAUGAUGCAGGAAGUGAAAACCUUAUUCCAAGUCACCAGAUGAGGAACUUCAGUGACUCAAGUUACACUUAAUUAAAAGAGGUUCAUCCUUAAACCAGUGUUGUAAAUGCUUGUCCGUGUAUUACCUGCCUGCCCUUCAAUAAACCAUUCAUGCUGAA